GCGCCAGUAUUUCAAGGAGGCUGAGGUGCGCGUGUAUGGGGGUGAGAUCGUGCUGGCCCUGGAACACCUGCAUAAGCUCGGCAUCAUUUACCGAGACCUGAAACUGGAGAAUGUGCUGCUGGACUCCGAGGGCCACAUUGUCCUCACGGACUUCGGGCUGAGCAAGGAGUUCCUGACGGAGGAGAAAGAGCGGACCUUCUCCUUCUGUGGCACCAUCGAGUACAUGGCCCCUGAAAUCAUCCGUAGCAAGACGGGGCACGGCAAGGCUGUGGACUGGUGGAGCCUGGGCAUCUUGCUCUUCGAGCUGCUGACGGGGGCCUCGCCCUUCACCCUGGAGGGCGAGAGGAACACGCAGGCUGAGGUGUCUCGGACCUGCUGCAGCGGCUGCUUUGCAAGGAUCCCAAGAAGCGAUUGGGCGCGGGGCCCCAGGGGGCACAAGAAGUCCGGAACCACCCCUUCUUCCAGGGCCUCGAUUGGGCUGCUCUGGCUGCCAGGAAGAUUCCAGCCCCAUUCCGGCCCCAAAUCCGCUCAGAGCUGGAUGUGGGCAACUUUGCAGAGGAAUUCACUCGGCUGGAGCCUGUCUACUCACCCCCUGGCAGCCCCCCACCUGGGGACCCCCGAAUCUUUCAGGGAUACUCCUUUGUGGCACCCUCCAUCCUCUUUGACCACAACAACGCGGUGAUGACCGAUGUGCUGGAAGCACCUGGUGCUGGAGACCGGCCAGGUCGGGCAGCGGUGGCCAGGAGCGCUAUGAUGCAGGUGGGCUGGGCUGGGCUGGGGGGAAACUGGUUUUAGGCCCGGGGACUCUAGGCCUAGAUCCAACUGGUGCCCGCAGCGUGAGCUCAGUGAGGUCCUAAGCCUCUCCGACAUGGGGCGUGGCGGGGCC
This 886-nucleotide small RNA is filed under the name Pongo abelii (Sumatran orangutan). RNAcentral describes it as "retained intron". The record is from RNAcentral. Lineage: Eukaryota; Metazoa; Chordata; Mammalia; Primates; Hominidae.